GACGAACGCUGGCGGCGUGCUUAACACAUGCAAGUCGAACGAUGAAGAAAAGAAUUGAAGCUUCGGCAGAAAUUCAUUUCGGAUUAGUGGCAGACGGGUGAGUAACGUGUGAGCAACCUCCCCUUUACAAAGGGAUAGCCCCGGGAAACCGGGACUAAUACCAUAUAACAUUGCGACGAAGCAUUUCGAUGCAAUCAAAGCUACGGCGGUAAGAGAUGGGCUCGCGUCCCAUUAACCAGAUGGUGAGGUAACGGCUCACCAUAGUAACGAUGGCUAACCGGCCGGGGAAGGGGAACGGUUGCACUGGAGGUAAGACACGGUCCAGACUCCUACGGGAGGCAGGAGUGGGGAAUAUUACACAAUGAAGGGAACUCUAAUACAGCGGCGCCGGGUGAGUGAUGAAGGGAUUCGUUUCGUGAAUCUCUGUUCGAUGAGGAGAAAGGGACUGUACCAUAGGAAAAAGCGCCGGCUAAAUACGUG
RNAcentral lists this ribosomal RNA (480 nucleotides) under uncultured bacterium. RNAcentral describes it as "partial 16S ribosomal RNA". It matches the Rfam family "Bacterial small subunit ribosomal RNA", at positions 28 to 507 of the family's 1533-position model. The record is from RNAcentral.